AAGGAGAAGGGGCUCAUCUGAACUCUGUAGCACAUUCCUGGGAAAAAAUCACUUGAGUUCACUGUACCCAUUCCCAUUUUGCUUCUAGGAUGGGGACUUCACAGUCUUUCCCUUCAGGAAGUGUUUCUGAUCAUGUUCCUUAAGUCCAGCCCAUAGGACCCAGGUUCUACUGGCAGCUUUGUCUUGAACACCCGUCCCUUCUUGGCAACUGGCAUGGACAAAAAGUCAUUCCUAUCUGUUAAAGGGGAGCCUGAGACCUGCCCUAGGCCGACAAAAUAAGGAGGAGGUGGUACCCUCCUACUAAGGGCUUUUCCUUCAAGCUCCUGGGAGAUGCCGAGCUUCCAAAGGCAACCUGGGAAUGGGGAACUGUGGCUUCAGGAGGUCACCUGAAGUCCGAACUGGAAUCCUCUCUGCCCCUCCCUUCCAGAUUAACCGAAACCUGCUAAUUGUGGCAGCCCUUGCAACUCCCCUCCCCCACAGCCUUUUCCUCCCUCCCCUCCCCCUUCCAUCCGAAUGAUAAAGGGCCCGGCCUGCCUGCCCCAGCCAGGCCUCAGGCCCCAGGCCCAGCCUCCCCACACUACCCCACAGUCCUGAGCCUUCCAGGAGGCCAGGCCCCUACCCACGCCUACAGACUCCCCUGCAUGGGGCCCCAGGAUCCAAAGCCAGCCUCGCAGCCCCCCAAGAGAAGAAAGAAGAGAUACCUGCGGCAUGACAAGCCCCC
RNAcentral lists this long non-coding RNA (721 nucleotides) under Marmota monax (woodchuck). The record is from RNAcentral. Lineage: Eukaryota; Metazoa; Chordata; Mammalia; Rodentia; Sciuridae.